This 312-nucleotide ribosomal RNA is filed under the name Paroedura bastardi. Its description in RNAcentral is "partial large subunit ribosomal RNA". It matches the Rfam family "Bacterial large subunit ribosomal RNA", at positions 1859 to 2317 of the family's 2925-position model. The record is from RNAcentral. Lineage: Eukaryota; Metazoa; Chordata; Lepidosauria; Squamata; Gekkonidae.
CUGCCCAGUGAACCUAUUUAACGGCCGCGGUACCCUAACCGUGCGAAGGUAGCGUAAUCACUUGUCUCCUAAUUAGAGACUAGUAUGAACGGCCACAUGAGGGCAUAACUGUCUCUUACAACCACUCAAUGAAACUGAGCUCUCAGUUAAAAAGCUGAAAUAACCCCAUAAGACGAGAAGACCCCGCGGAGCUUUAAGCAACCCACUAAUGUAACCAUCACAGCCAACCGGCUGCCAACCCCACAAUUAUAGUAGGAAGAGCUUUAAGUUGGGGCGACUGCCGAGCAAAACAAAACCUCCAUGAACCAGGAU